CCUACGGGUGGCAGCAGUAGGGAAUAUUGGUCAAUGGGGGAAACCCUGAAGCAGCAACGCCGCGUGGAGGAUGACGGUUUUAUGAUUUUAAACUCCUUUUUUUAGAGAAGAUUAUGACGGUAUCUAACGAAUAAGCACCGGCUAACUCCGUGCCAGCAGCCGCGGUAAUUCGGCGGGUGCCCGCGUUACUCGGAAUCACUGGGCGUAAAGAGUGGGUAGGCGGGGUAAUAAGUCAGAUGGGAAAUCCUGUAGCUUAACUACAGAACUGCAGUUGAAACUGUUACUCUUGAGUGUGGGAGAGGUAGGCGGAAUGCGUGGUGUAGGGGUAAAAUCCGUAGAGAUCAAGAGGAAUACUCAUUGCGAAGGCGACCUGCUGGAACAUUACUGACGCUGAUGCACGAAAGCGUGGGUAGCGAACAGGAUUAGAUACCCCUGUAGUC
RNAcentral lists this ribosomal RNA (440 nucleotides) under uncultured bacterium. Its description in RNAcentral is "partial 16S ribosomal RNA". It matches the Rfam family "Bacterial small subunit ribosomal RNA", at positions 338 to 795 of the family's 1533-position model. The record is from RNAcentral.